UUUUUCUGAGGUGCGGCCCGCACCUGUCUAACUAAACUAGGGCUACCCUUUUUCAACACGGUUGCAUCGGUUGGGCUUGUCAGACAGCGCGCGCGCAAGCGUGUUCUCGACGGCAGCCUGACACAACACCAAAAACACUUUGGAUGACAUAGGAUUUGAACGAAUUUGUUAUUUAACGGCUGGUAAUGCGGUCGUCUAAAAUUAAAAAACAACUUUUGGCAACGGAUCUCUUGGUUCUCCCAUCGAUGAAGAACGCAGCGAAUUGCGAUAAGUAAUGUGAAUUGCAGAAGUGAAUCAUCGAAUCUUUGAACGCACCUUGCGCUCCCUGCAGAUCUAAUCUGGGGAGCAUGCCUGUUUGAGGGCCGCGAAUUGUUUCGAACGCACGUUUUUUUAAGUAAAGGCUGGCGGAUCGGUAGUGAGGGUUUUUGCCAUUUACCGUGGCUCCCUCGAAAUGCAUUAGUGCAUCCAUUUAAUAGGCAAAGACGGACGAAAGCUCGACUUUUCUCUCUCUCUUCCCUGCCGGGUUUUGAUAAUAUCAGGACUUCGGAGGCGGAGAAAGAGCAAGAGCUGGACGCGACGACUUUUGCUGGUUGGAGUGCUUCUGAACACCGCCCUUUUUUCUUUCUUGGAAAAAAGGAAUUAAUUCAAAUCGGCCUCAGAUUGGUAGGACUACCCGCUGAACUUAAGCAUAUCAAUA
Molecule: ribosomal RNA, 697 nt
Filed under: Pseudozyma sp. Y29-I
Lineage: Eukaryota; Fungi; Basidiomycota; Ustilaginomycetes; Ustilaginales; Ustilaginaceae
Description: eukaryotic LSU rRNA
Rfam family: 5.8S ribosomal RNA (bases 211-365)
Source: RNAcentral